Molecule: ribosomal RNA, 482 nt
Filed under: uncultured bacterium
Lineage: Bacteria
Description: partial 16S ribosomal RNA
Rfam family: Bacterial small subunit ribosomal RNA
Source: RNAcentral
AUUGAACGCUGGCGGCAUGCCUUACACAUGCAAGUCGAACGGUAACAGGUCUUCGGAUGCUGACGAGUGGCGAACGGGUGAGUAAUACAUCGGAACGUGCCCGAUCGUGGGGGAUAACGAGGGGAAAGCUUUGCUAAUACCGCAUACGAUCUACGGAUGAAAGCGGGGGAUCUUCGGACCUCGCGCGGACGGAGCGGCCGAUGGCAGAUUAGGUAGUUGGUGGGAUAAAAGCUUACCAAGCCGACGAUCUGUAGCUGGUCUGAGAGGAUGAUCAGCCACACUGGGACUGAGACACGGCCCAGACUCCUACGGGAGGCAGCAGUGGGGAAUUUUGGACAAUGGGCGAAAGCCUGAUCCAGCCAUGCCGCGUGCAGGAUGAAGGCCUUUGGGUUGUAAACUGCUUUUGUACGGAACGAAAAGCCUCUUUCUAAUAAAGAGGGGUCAUGACGGUACCGUAAGAAUAAGCACCGGCUAACUACGUG